UACGAGGGGGGCAAAUGUUGUUCGGAAUCACUGGGCGUAAAGGGAGCGUAGGCGGUUUUUUAAGUUAGGUGUUUAAUCCCGGGGCCCAACCCCGGACAGGCACCUAAAACUGGAAAACUUGAAUAGUGGAGAGGUCGGCGGAAUUGGGGGUGUAGCGGUGGAAUGCGUAGAGAUCCCCAAGAACACCAGUUGCGAAGGCGGCCGACUGGACACAUAUUGACGCUGAGGCUCGAAAGCAUGGGGAGCAAAC
RNAcentral lists this ribosomal RNA (250 nucleotides) under uncultured bacterium. RNAcentral's name for it is "partial 16S ribosomal RNA". It matches the Rfam family "Bacterial small subunit ribosomal RNA", at positions 524 to 773 of the family's 1533-position model. The record is from RNAcentral.